GACGAACGCUGGCGGCGUGCUUAACACAUGCAAGUCGAACGGAAAGGCCCUGCUUUUGUGGGGUGCUCGAGUGGCGAACGGGUGAGUAACACGUGAGUAACCUGCCCUUGACUUUGGGAUAACUUCAGGAAACUGGGGCUAAUACCGGAUAGGAGCUCCUGCUGCAUGGUGGGGGUUGGAAAGUUUCGGCGGUUGGGGAUGGACUCGCGGCUUAUCAGCUUGUUGGUGGGGUAGUGGCUUACCAAGGCUUUGACGGGUAGCCGGCCUGAGAGGGUGACCGGCCACAUUGGGACUGAGAUACGGCCCAGACUCCUACGGGAGGCAGCAGUGGGGAAUAUUGCACAGUGGGCGGAAGCCUGAUGCAGCAACGCCGCGUGCGGGAUGCCGGCCUUCGGGUUGUAAACCGCUUUCGCCUGUGACGAAGCGUGAGUGACGGUAAUGGGUAAAGAAGCACCGGCUAACUACGUG
RNAcentral lists this ribosomal RNA (468 nucleotides) under uncultured bacterium. RNAcentral's name for it is "partial 16S ribosomal RNA". It matches the Rfam family "Bacterial small subunit ribosomal RNA", at positions 28 to 507 of the family's 1533-position model. The record is from RNAcentral.